This is a microRNA precursor of Aotus nancymaae (Ma's night monkey), 100 nucleotides long. The record is from Ensembl. NCBI's taxonomy places the organism in Eukaryota, Metazoa, Chordata, Mammalia, Primates, Aotidae.
ACUUUAUAUGUGUAAUUGUGAUGAGGAUGGAUAGCAAGGAAAUCUCUCCCACAUGACCCUCACGGCCUCCGUGUCACCUGUCCUCUAGGUGGGACGCUCG